UCCAAGAACAACAGCUCAAGCUCUUCACAACAAAUUUCCCCUUUUUCCCCAAGAAGGGAUAGUAAUUACAGACACUCAUACCAUCUAUGAGACUGUCAAGCAGGGAACCAAACAUCUUGGAAGGAAUCGAGAGAUGAAUGAGGCAGGAUCAAAAGGGUAUUGUCUUACCUAUUGCUGCAUGGGACCACAUCUCAACUUGCAACUAUUUGAUGUUCCUUGCAAUGAAGUCAAAUAUCACUGAAUCAGAUGACGCUGGAGAAGUAAAGGGAGAGUAAAAUUUCUGUAAUUUACUCUCAUCAUUUUGUCUUGAUAUUCUCAGUGAAAGUGGAAAGGAAGAAAAUGAAUAUUAAACCUUGUUCUCAUUUGACAGCUGAAUUUUCAGUUUGCAUGGUUGAAGGUAUUUUAUAUUUAGGAUAGCAUACUGCUAAGAACUUGCAAGGGAUAAACAACUCCAGAAGUGAACAAAAGCACAGCUUGCAUUACAGUCCCUAUAAUAUUCCAUGCAGCCUAUACAUUCAGUAGUAGACUGAAUAUUAAAGUAAUCAUUUUUAUUUGUGUUCCAAACUUAUUGGAAGCUGGGGGAAAGUUACAAUGAAGUGUAUAUGAGUGUUUUUCCAUCCAUACUUUUUCAUGGUAGAUUUUACA
This is a long non-coding RNA of Catharus ustulatus (Swainson's thrush), 645 nucleotides long. RefSeq lists it as uncharacterized. Lineage: Eukaryota; Metazoa; Chordata; Aves; Passeriformes; Turdidae. The transcript is spliced from 3 exons. The record is from RefSeq and is a predicted model, not a curated record.